UUUUUUAAUAUGUUUUUUGCUCCACGCGAGAAACAUGCAUACGUGCGCGGAAUAUAUUAAGCGCGGUUCCUUAUUCUCGACGUUUUCGGCAAGUUUUAGCUUGCGGGUCAUUAUCCACGCGUGUAGGGGCGUCGUUGCGGUGGAAAAGUGGUCGGGUACCGAAAGGGGUCGAGACCGCGGUAAACCUCUAGUUGGUGCGGUAGAGAGGGAGGGGUGGAGACCGUGGUAAACACGACACGUGUACGUUGUUGAGAGAGAGAGUAAGUGGUACGGUGCAGUAUUCGUUAUUAGGAAGCGUUGUCAAAGAGUGCUCGAUCGUGUUUGUGGUGGAGCCGAGAGGCGGGCGCAUAAUGGACGAAGGCGGGGUAAACAUGUCGGAUGCGAUCAUACCAGCACUAAAGCACCGGAUCCAAUCAGAACUUCGAAGUUAAGCGUGCUUGGGCGAGAGUAGUACUAGGAUUGAUCCCAUCAGAACUCCGAAGUUAAGCGUGCUUGUGCGAGAGUAGUACUAGGAUGGGUGACCUCCUGGGAAGUCCUCAUGUUGCAUUCC
This 550-nucleotide ribosomal RNA is filed under the name Hordeum pusillum. Lineage: Eukaryota; Viridiplantae; Streptophyta; Magnoliopsida; Poales; Poaceae. The record is from RNAcentral.